AUGAACGCUGGCGGCGUGCCUCAUACCUGCAAGUCGAGCGCACAGACGAGGAGCUUGCUCCUCUGACGUUAGCGGCGGACGGGUGAGUAACACGUGGAUAACCUACCUAUAAGACUGGGAUAACUUCGGGAAACCGGAGCUAAUACCGGAUAAUAUAUUGAACCGCAUGGUUCAAUAGUGAAAGACGGUUUUGCUGUCACUUAUAGAUGGAUCCGCGCCGCAUUAGCUAGUUGGUAAGGUAACGGCUUACCAAGGCAACGAUGCGUAGCCGACCUGAGAGGGUGAUCGGCCACACUGGAACUGGGACACGGUCCAGACUCCUACGGGAGGCAGCAGUAGGGAAUCUUCCGCAAUGGGCGAAAGCCUGACGGAGCAACGCCGCGUGAGUGAUGAAGGUCUUCGGAUCGUAAAACUCUGUUAUUAGGGAAGAACAAAUGUGUAAGUAACUAUGCACGUCUUGACGGUACCUAAUCAGAAAGCCACGGCUAACUACGUG
Molecule: ribosomal RNA, 496 nt
Filed under: uncultured bacterium
Lineage: Bacteria
Description: partial 16S ribosomal RNA
Rfam family: Bacterial small subunit ribosomal RNA
Source: RNAcentral